RNAcentral lists this ribosomal RNA (477 nucleotides) under uncultured Bacteriovorax sp. Its description in RNAcentral is "bacterial SSU rRNA". It matches the Rfam family "Bacterial small subunit ribosomal RNA", at positions 29 to 505 of the family's 1533-position model. The record is from RNAcentral. Lineage: Bacteria; Pseudomonadati; Bdellovibrionota; Bacteriovoracia; Bacteriovoracales; Bacteriovoracaceae.
AAUGAACGCUGGCGGCGUGCUUAACACAUGCAAGUCGAACGAGAAAGUACCUUCGGGUGCGAGUAGAGUGGCGCACGGGUGAGUAACACGUAGAUAACCUACCCAUUGAUGGGGGAUAACCAGGAGAAAUUCUGGCUAAUACCGCAUAAGUUGGUAACAAGAAAGGAUGCUUCGGCAUUCGUCGAUGGAUGGGUCUGCGGGACAUUAGUUUGAUGGUGGGGUAAUGGCCUACCAUGACUGCGAUGUCUAGCUGGUCUGAGAGGAUGAUCAGCCACACUGGAACUGAGACACGGUCCAGACUCCUACGGGAGGCAGCAGUGGGGAAUAUUGCGCAAUGGGGGAAACCCUGACGCAGCAACGCCGCGUGAGUGAGGAAGGCCUUCGGGUUGUAAAGCUCUGUCAGAUGGGAAGAACGGUCAUUGGUCUAAUAGGCCUUUGAUUUGACGGUACCAUCAAAGGAAGCACCGGCUAACUUCG